CCAAUAGCGUAUAUUAAAGUUGCUGCAGUUAAAAAGCUCGUAGUUGAAUUUCGGGACCAUCAUGUCGGUCGUGCCUCGGUACGUACUGGUAUUGUUGGUUUCUCCCUUCUGACGAACCAUGAUGUCAUUUAUUUGGUGUUGUGGGGAAUUAGGACUGUUACUUUGAAAAAAUUAGAGUGUUUAAAGCAGGCUCACGCUUGAAUACAUUAGCAUGGAAUAAUGAAAUAGGACGUUUGAUUCUAUUUUGUUGGUUUCUAGGAUCGACGUAAUGAUUAAUAGGGAUAGUUGGGGGCAUUAGUAUUCAAUUGUAAGAGGUGAAAUUCUUGGAUUUAUUGAAGACUAACUACUGCGAAAGCAUUUGCCAAGGAUGUUUUCAUUAAUCAAGAACGAAAGUUAGGGGAUCGAAGACGAUCAGAUACCGUCGUAGUCUUAACCAUAAACUAUGCCGACUAGGGAUCGGAUGAUGUUAAUUUUUUAAUGACUCAUUCGGCGCCUUACG
Molecule: ribosomal RNA, 499 nt
Filed under: uncultured Glomeromycotina
Lineage: Eukaryota; Fungi; Glomeromycota
Description: partial small subunit ribosomal RNA
Rfam family: Eukaryotic small subunit ribosomal RNA
Source: RNAcentral